Molecule: long non-coding RNA, 1110 nt
Organism: Magallana angulata
Lineage: Eukaryota; Metazoa; Mollusca; Bivalvia; Ostreida; Ostreidae
Exons: 5
Source: RefSeq, a predicted model, not a curated record
CUAGUUUGUUGCCCAAACUAUCGAAUUGUCGGAACCAACUGCGAAGAAUGUUGGGCCGGAUCUCGAGGAGUAGACUGUAAAGAAGAUUGUGCUCCUGGGUUUUAUGGAAGACUCUGUAGAGAAAAAUGUGCGUGUGAUCCAUGUGAUAAAGUCAAAGGAUGUGAAAAUGUUCCAACAGAAUACAUGUACUACAGAUCAACGGUGAUGAAUAGUGUUGGCGCAUCACAAAGCCAAGGAAUAUGUUCGAACAUGUCAAAUGGAGAACCGCUAGUUUGUUGCCCAAACUAUCGAAUUGUCGGGACCAACUGCGAAGAAUGUUGGGCCGGAUCUCGAGGAGUAGACUGUAAAGAAGACUGUGCUCCUGGGUUUUAUGGAAGACUCUGUAGAGAAAAAUGUGCGUGUGAUCCAUGUGAUAAAGUCAAAGGAUGUGAAAAUGUUCCAACAGAAUACAUGUACUACAGAUCAACGGGUAUGUAUAUAUUUUUCUUAUUCCGGUGAAAGUAUGAAGGCUUUGGAAAUUUCUAUCUAUAAGUUACAAUUUUUGAGGAAUCGCUUUAAAAUGAGCUACAUUUAACAGCUGGAAAUAAGAAUUUAACCAAGUAAAAUAUUUCAUGUUCUAUAUAUUUUAUGGCAAAUAUAUUUUCUCCUUUUAUGUUCUGAAUAUUGUUAACAAUAGGGUAAUCACAGAUCUGUUUGUAAGACUAAGAGAUAAUGCGAUUAGAUACAUGUAAAAAAAAUAUGAAAUACGAUAUUAUGCAUUGUAAGGCUAUAAGCAGUUUUCGAGUUUAUAUUAGCGUAUAAGUGUAACUAGAUGUGUUAUCCACACAGUCAGGCGUUUAAAUACAUCGUCAAACAACAUUUGCAAUGUUGCCGUUUUUGCAAAAUAUAAGAGAACAUAAUCUUUAUGUUAGAACGGCAUUGUAAAAGGGAAUAAAUGUCACCGAUUUUCUUGAUACGUUGUGUACGUCGACAAAUUAGCUGAUAUAUAUUAGCGCAGCCACGAUUGUUAUUUUAUUACUAUUCAAAUUAUCCAAUGACGGUAAGUCGAGCAUUAUUUUUUUCGGUUAUAUAUAUGGUUUUACCAACGGAAUACAUUUGGGCCUCAAGAUC